This 539-nucleotide ribosomal RNA is filed under the name uncultured bacterium. RNAcentral describes it as "partial 16S ribosomal RNA". It matches the Rfam family "Bacterial small subunit ribosomal RNA", at positions 355 to 881 of the family's 1533-position model. The record is from RNAcentral.
UGGGGAAUAUUGCACAAUGGGCGCAAGCCUGAUGCAGCCAUGCCGCGUGUGUGAAGAAGGCCUUCGGGUUGUAAAGCACUUUCAGCGAGGAGGAAGGUGGUGAGCUUAAUACGCUCAUCAAUUGACGUUACUCGCAGAAGAAGCACCGGCUAACUCCGUGCCAGCAGCCGCGGUAAUACGGAGGGUGCAAGCGUUAAUCGGAAUUACUGGGCGUAAAGCGCACGCAGGCGGUUUGUUAAGUCAGAUGUGAAAUCCCCGGGCUCAACCUGGGAACUGCAUUUGAAACUGGCAAGCUAGAGUCUCGUAGAGGGGGGUAGAAUUCCAGGUGUAGCGGUGAAAUGCGUAGAGAUCUGGAGGAAUACCGGUGGCGAAGGCGGCCCCCUGGACGAAGACUGACGCUCAGGUGCGAAAGCGUGGGGCAGCAAACAGGAUUAGAUACCCCUGGUAGUCCAGCGCUGUAAACGAUGUCGAUUUUGGAGGUUGUGCCCUUGAGGCGUGGGCUUCCGGAGCUAACGCGUUAAAUCGACCGCCUGGGGAGU